This is a long non-coding RNA of Chelonia mydas (Green sea turtle), 3380 nucleotides long. RefSeq lists it as uncharacterized. The transcript is spliced from 8 exons. The record is from RefSeq and is a predicted model, not a curated record. NCBI's taxonomy places the organism in Eukaryota, Metazoa, Chordata, Testudines, Cheloniidae.
UUAUGAUGUGCAUCAGGGGACCUUACCCUUGUUUGCCUAAAGCAAGUUGCUGUUUUCCUUUUUUCUGUGCUAAAGGAGGGAGUUUGAAAGCACUCUGCAUUGGCCUGACCCUCCCCUCCAUAGAAAUCAAUGGGACAUUUUACCCUUGGCUUCAAAAAGCGCAAAGUGAGGUCAGCACUGGGUGCUUUUGAAAAUUCCACCCCGAGAGAGUUUGCAUCAUUUGCCAGUCCGUCUCCAGUCUGCUGGAGUAGGGUCUAAUUCCUGUCAGGGGGAAGGCUAAAAUCAACAAUGACGAUAAAAACAAACGCCAAUAAGCACAUUUUCUUACAAUGUAAAUACAUAGAAAAAGGGAAAUCAUUAAAAAGCCAAAGUCAACGAAGAGUCGCUUGGCUACAGGGAAGCAGAAAUACCCCAAUUGUUGCAUUGCAUUGUCCCACUGCCUUCGCUGAGUUUUGUGGGGAAGGGGGGGAGAGAUGAUGUGGAUGGCCCUAGUUACACUACAGCUUUUCCAAACCAAUCUUGACAAUGCUACACUUGAAGAUUGGUCAAAACAGGCUUUUUUAAUAGUUGUUUAAAACUGUUCUUGAGCCUAGGCUGGUAAUGCAUAAGUAAGCAGGCCAAUUUGCAUUCUCUAGUUAUUGUGUGCUGAGCAUCUCAUUUUAAACCUCUGUUGUCCUGCUCGGGCUCUGAAACCUGGCAUGGUGGGUGCGUCUCAUGCCCUGAGCUUCAGCCUAAGUGGGAAUGCCUGCACUGCUAUUUUUAGAGCCAAAGCAUGAGCCCCAGGAGCCUGAGUCUGAGACUCUACCAUGUUUUGGUUUGGUUCAGGAUUUUUCAGUGUAGAUGAACCCAUUAAUACCCAGCUUCACAAUACAGUGUAGACGUACCCUUGAUGUCUUCAUAAACUCCUGUUUUUAAAUUUAACUUCCUUGAGCACACUCACUGUGGAUCCCAUAGUAAACAGUGUUUAUUCUCCCUCCCAUUAGUUUUAUCACUGAGGAAAAACAGGUUUGCCUUUCUGCUGGUGGCUCUGAUUGCAGCUCAACAUCCAUCAGAAAGGACAGCUGUAAUUUGAUCAGGUGUCUUGUCAAACUCUAAGAUCUCAACGUAUUUUCUAACUUUGGCAAGACUUUUAUGAAGCAAAGUCAGUCCCUGCAAGAAUUCUGUCCCCUGCAUCAAGGGUUUGCCCCAGUUUCAGUCUUUGGUGGCUAGCGUUCAGUAUAGCUGCACCAGUGCAGUCCUCUAGUACAGAAAAUGAAAGAUGAAACUUGGAUCAGUGCAGCUUAUUCGUGCUUGAAACAUGGGUGAAUUCCUCCGGUGCAAAUCACAGCUUUCCUUGCUUUGGGUUUGCCUUUGUGCAGCUGCAGCAGUGACUGGCUGCUAGCAGCUGAAAUUAGGACAUGUCCCAAUGUAAAAUCGAGGCUUUUGUCUUGUGGGGCAGAAAUGGACGAGCUACCAAAAAGUGCUGUCUAGGAACAUGGUUUGCAGUACUGCCUCAGACCAUUGGGCCAUCCCGUCCAGAAUCCUCAUGCUUCAGAAGAAGACAGGGCAUGUCCUGACUCUUAAUGGCAUUACAGGUUGGGAUACUGGAUGCUUGUGUACAGAUAUGAAACAACUAUCAUCUGUGUUCCAAGGACAGUACUAAACUACAGGCAGCUGGCUACAAAUGGCUUAACAUUCAGAAGAGCUAAGUACCCACAAAUCGCGUGGAAGUCAAGUGGAGCUAUAGUAUAGUUGAGUGGAGAGGGUCCUGGACUGGGAUGUGGGAGACCUGGGCUCUGCCACUGCCCUGCUGGGAGAUCUUGGAUAGAAUAAUGCCUCUCACAGCUUCUCUGCAGAUCAGUCGACUUGAAUUUCUCUAGGGAAAGGUAAAGUGAGUUUUAUUCCUCAAUGUUUGCUUAUCUAUUUCUGUCCUCUCCCCUCCCACAGUUGGGCUGUUUACUAGUCUCCCUUGUUCUAUCUAUAUUUUAAGCUCUUUGAGACAGAAAAUAUGUUAUUAGGUAUUUUCUGAGAUACCUAAUAGAUGUGGGAUGCUUGAAAAAUAACUAUGUUCCCUGACUGGGUUGUCACUUUAGAACUAAACAUAUAUAUCCUACAGCCAAUUCCCAUCCACUGGGAGAGGAAAUUGUGAAAAACAAUAUCAAAGGACACUCAUUUUUUAUUUUAUUUUGGUCAGCAUGCGCCAAAAAUAUCCUUAAGUUAAAUAUAAAUUUGAUAAACAGUCACAACUCUAGUCAGUUUAUUUUAAGGACGCAUGACUGAAUGUUCUAACAGGUCACUUGGAAGGGGAGAGGAAGGAAGGAAGAAGUUGAUGGUCUUCUAUGGCCAUUUUGAACUGCUGACUUUUGUUUUGAUGUAUGAUUAUUGUUUGGCGCCUAGAGCACUAGAUAGAGGCUUUUAUAACUAAGCAUAAAUACAAACAUGUUAACUGUAAGAUUUCAAGGACCACACAGAGGGAAGAGGUGGACAGGUGGACUUAGAAGCUUCUUACCAACCAAGACAUGAGCGGAGGGUUAUAUGAUGACAUGAGAUACUAUGGACAUAAUCAAUGGAAGCAGAGGAUUCACACAGCACGAAGAUCAGGACUGGGCCGGCAAGUAAAGAAGGAAUUGAAAGUCAUAUCUGGGUUCAAGCUGUGGAAUUGUGCCUAGAGGAAGGAUGGUUUUGUGAUGCUUGCGGUCUCCGGAGAUCUGGUUCAAUUCCAAGCUCUGACACAGACAUCUUGUGUGACUUUGGGAGCCUGAACUGGAUGUGAUUUGGCUGGAGGACUGAGCCACAGAAGUCCUGGUGAGAGGCAGAUGGACAUUAGGAGGCACGAGAGAUGAGAACCCCUAGCAGCGUCUCACCCUGACAUAAGGGGGUGCUAUGGAUGAUCCCUUUGUGUUUUCUCUGAUGCUGUGCCUCAUGCAUGGAAAACCCUCCCUAAUCUGAAAGGUACUACUACCUUAUUCCCCUCAAGAUCCACUGCCUCUGUGAUGGCUACAAGAAAUCACCAAGCGGUUGGCAAGAUUGAACCACAGUUGGAGAUAAUUGAUCUUCAGUAUUGCCAAGUCUAGUGGCUUAUUGGUGUUGUUUCUUGAUGCCCCAGCUCCUCGAGUCAUAGCCAGUUAUCUCAUCAUAGAAGGCAAUCAGGUUGGUCAGACAUGAUUUGCCCUUGGAGAAUCCAUGUUGGAGAAUCCUGUUCCUGAUCACCUUCCUCUCCUCCAAGUGCUUCAAAAUGGAUUCCUUGAGGAGCUGCUCCAUGAUUUUCCAGGAACUGAGAGAUGAGAAUUUGACCCACAGAUACAGACAGACAUCAUCUUCCUUUCCAAACGCAAACAGAUGGACAUCAUACCAAAAGGACUGAAAAUUCAUUAAAAAUCCAUUUAAAAAAUCCAUGUAAA